UACGGGGGGGGCAAGCGUUGUUCGGAAUUACUGGGCGUAAAGGGCUCGUAGGUGGCCAACUAAGUCGGACGUGAAAUCCCUCAGCUUAACUGGGGAACUGCGUCCGAUACUGGAUGGCUUGAGUUUGGGAGAGGGAUGCGGAAUUCCAGGUGUAGCGGUGAAAUGCGUAGAUAUCUGGAGGAACACCGGUGGCGUAGGCGGCAUCCUGGACCAACACUGACACUGAGGAGCGAAAGCCAGGGGAGCAAACGGG
Molecule: ribosomal RNA, 253 nt
Filed under: uncultured bacterium
Lineage: Bacteria
Description: partial 16S ribosomal RNA
Rfam family: Bacterial small subunit ribosomal RNA
Source: RNAcentral